RNAcentral lists this long non-coding RNA (256 nucleotides) under Elaeis guineensis (African oil palm). RNAcentral's name for it is "long non-coding RNA (EGUI_LNC007091)". The record is from RNAcentral. Lineage: Eukaryota; Viridiplantae; Streptophyta; Magnoliopsida; Arecales; Arecaceae.
UGUUGUUGCUAAAAUCGAUUAGAGUCGGAAGGCGAACAUCUAAAAAUCUCGUGCAAGGAUGCUGGCGCUGGAUUGAUCUGUAAAAUAAAUUUUAAAUCGGAGGUUGUGGCUCCGACGAGGAUCCUCCGAUGCUCAAGUCAAAAAAAUAGAGAUAAGAGAGCAGCAACGGAUUCUCUAAAAGAGAAUUAAUUGGACUUACUUAGAUCCUCAGGGCUCUGAUUGUUUCUAUAAAAAGAUGUUGGACAGUUGGAUUGUU